CUGAAUGAGACCCUUUGCUGGAACUGGCGAAGGGAGAAAAAGUCCUCGAGAGAGGGUAGACACUGUGGAGGGAAGAGCUUGGGACCAAUGUCAGGAGAGCUGGAUCCAUCUCCCUCUCUGCUCCUCAUUACCCUUGUGACCUAUAGCAGUGUAAGUAAUCUCUCUAAGGUGGGGACAGGACCCCAGUCCCUGCUGUGCUCAAUAAAUUAUGAUGAUCCAAAUAAAUAAUCAGUGAAUGUGGAUGGGGAAA
RNAcentral lists this long non-coding RNA (250 nucleotides) under Pongo abelii (Sumatran orangutan). Its description in RNAcentral is "lincRNA". The record is from RNAcentral. Lineage: Eukaryota; Metazoa; Chordata; Mammalia; Primates; Hominidae.